This 315-nucleotide long non-coding RNA is filed under the name Nicotiana benthamiana. Its description in RNAcentral is "long non-coding RNA (NBEN_LNC012853)". The record is from RNAcentral. Lineage: Eukaryota; Viridiplantae; Streptophyta; Magnoliopsida; Solanales; Solanaceae.
GCACUUUGUUACACAAUGGUUUCCUCAAGCUUUCCCAUGUUUCUACUUCUCGGCAGCUGGCUUAUCUAUUGACCAAGGCUUUAUCUGGGACUGCUCUCUCUCCUCUUUUUUCCAAGUUGAUGGUGGUUUCCCCCCCUUCAACUUGAGGGGGGGUGUUGAGAUAUAUAUAGUCGAUGAUGAUAAACCACCGUUAAGGGUCAAUAAGGGAGUCAUAUCUGAGCCUAAUAGGCUACUUAUGUAAUUAGGUUAUUCUUGUAAUAAGCUUAUUUUCUGUAGUUAGGCUAUAUGUGUAAAUAGGCUAUUUCUGUAAUUGAU